AGCAGCCGCGGUAAUUCCAGCUCCAAUAGCGUAUAUUAAAGUUGUUGCAGUUAAAAAGCUCGUGGUUGAAUUUCGGGAUCAAGGAAUCGGUCAUGCCUCGGUAUGUACUGGUUUUAUUGGUUCUCACCUUCUAAAGAACCAUGAUGUCAUUCAUUUGAUGUUAUGGGGAAUUAGGACUGUUACUUUGAAAAAAUUAGAGUGUUUAAAGCAGGCUCGCGCUUGAAUACAUUAGCAUGGAAUAAUGAAAUAGGACGUUUGAUUCUAUUUUGUUGGUUUCUAGGAUCGACGUAAUGAUUAAUAGGGAUAGUUGGGGGCAUUAGUAUUCAAUUGUCAGAGGUGAAAUUCUUGGAUUUAUUGAAGACUAACUACUGCGAAAGCAUUUGCCAAGGAUGUUUUCAUUAAUCAAGAACGAAAGUUAGGGGAUCGAAGACGAUCAGAUACCGUCGUAGUCUUAACCAUAAACUAUGCCGACUAGGGAUCGGAUGAUGUUAAUUUUUAAUGACUCAUUCGGCGUCCG
RNAcentral lists this ribosomal RNA (517 nucleotides) under uncultured Glomus. RNAcentral's name for it is "SSU rRNA". It matches the Rfam family "Eukaryotic small subunit ribosomal RNA", at positions 569 to 1089 of the family's 1831-position model. Lineage: Eukaryota; Fungi; Glomeromycota; Glomeromycetes; Glomerales; Glomeraceae. The record is from RNAcentral.